CCUUUUGUGGUGUAGUGGUUAGCACACUGGGCGCGUGUUCCAGAGGUCCGUGGUUCAAGUCCCGGCGAAGGUG
RNAcentral lists this transfer RNA (73 nucleotides) under Stegodyphus mimosarum. It matches the Rfam family "tRNA". Rfam says of the family: Transfer RNA (tRNA) molecules are approximately 80 nucleotides in length. Their secondary structure includes four short double-helical elements and three loops (D, anti-codon, and T loops). The record is from Rfam by way of RNAcentral. Lineage: Eukaryota; Metazoa; Arthropoda; Arachnida; Araneae; Eresidae.